CAAGGAUUCCCCUAGUAACUGCGAGUGAAGCGGGAAAAGCUCAAAUUUAAAAUCUGGCAGUCUUUGAUUGUCCGAGUUGUAAUCUAGAGAAGUGUUAUCCGCGCUGGACCGUGUAAAAGUCUCCUGGAAUGGAGCAUCAUAGAGGGUGAGAAUCCCGUCUUUGACAUGGACUACCAGUGCUUUGUGAUGCGCUCUCAAAGAGUCGAGUUGUUUGGGAAUGCAGCUCAAAAUGGGUGGUAAAUUCCAUCUAAAGCUAAAUAUUGGCGAGAGACCGAUAGCGAACAAGUACCGUGAGGGAAAGAUGAAAAGAACUUUGGAAAGAGAGUUAAACAGUACGUGAAAUUGCUGAAAGGGAAACGCUUGAAGUCAGUCGCGUUGGCCAGGAAUCAACCUUGCUUUUGCUGGGCGUACUUUCUGGUUGACGGGUCAGCAUCAAUUUUGACUGCUGGAGAAAGUUCAAGGGAAUGUGGCAUCUUCGGGUGUGUUAUAGCCCUUGUUCGCAUACAGCAGUUGGGAUUGAGGAACUCAGCACGCCGCAAGGCCGGGUUUCGACCACGUUCGUGCUUAGGAUGCUGGCAUAAUGGCUUUAAUCGACCCGUCUUGAAACACGGACCAAGGAGUCUAACAUGCCUGCGAGUGUUUGGGUGGAAAACUCAAGCGCGCAAUGAAAGUAAAAGUUGAGAUCCCUGUCGUGGGGAGCAUCGACGCCCGGACCAGACCUUUUGUGACGGAUCUGCGGUAGAGCAUGUAUGUUGGGACCCGAAAGAUGGUGAACUAUGCCUGAAUAGGGUGAAGCCAGAGGAAACUCUGGUGGAGGCUCGUAGCGAUUCUGACGUGCAAAUCGAUCGUCAAAUUUGGGUAUAGGGGCGAAAGACUAAUC
This 880-nucleotide ribosomal RNA is filed under the name Bolbitius coprophilus. RNAcentral describes it as "eukaryotic LSU rRNA". It matches the Rfam family "Eukaryotic large subunit ribosomal RNA", at positions 69 to 936 of the family's 3401-position model. The record is from RNAcentral. Lineage: Eukaryota; Fungi; Basidiomycota; Agaricomycetes; Agaricales; Bolbitiaceae.